Mobula hypostoma (lesser devil ray) is the source of this 844-nucleotide long non-coding RNA. RefSeq lists it as uncharacterized. NCBI's taxonomy places the organism in Eukaryota, Metazoa, Chordata, Chondrichthyes, Myliobatiformes, Myliobatidae. The record is from RefSeq and is a predicted model, not a curated record. The transcript has 3 exons.
GGAAGAUGAUGCUGAAUUGUUUCAGCAGAUUCCACUUGGUCAAAUCGGGGACUUGUAAUUCGAAGUUUGGGAGGAUGCACCAGAACCAUACUGUUAUGCUGCUGCACGUUAGAGAUGCCUUCUGUGUUCAAGUGGAAAGCCAAGAUGGAAAGACCAAAGCCCAGCUGGAGAAAUGGAAGGACAAAAGGAAAGGAGUCAAUGGGAUUCGUCGAAUGAUGUUGUGGAUGAGGAAACCAAGAGGAGAGACCAGAACCUGAAGGGAGCACUAGAAGACUUAAUAAGAGAAUACUCCAGUGAAUUAAAUGCACCUUUCCAAGUUCAGGAUGCACAAGCUCGAAGAAGAAAAAUACCUAGGACUGUCAGAACCAUUUCCUACAGUCUCAGAGUUUACAAUGACCAUAGAGGGGCCCUGGAACCUGAGAUUGUUUUCACACCCAAAAGUCUCAACCAAGCGGAGUGAUUUCCCCCUUGUCUGGAAAGAUAUUAUCCCACAAAAGUUAUGUAUAAUUUCAUGAAUUGUGUAUGUCAUCAUGCUACCAUGUGAUACGUUUGUGCCUCGCUUAAAGUAAGCGUGAAGCUAGACUGACAUCUUGGACUCCCGAGUCUUCUUCAAAUCAGUUUUAAUGUUUUGAAGUUACAGAAGAAAAGUGAUGAAUCAGCAUAUAGGAGGAAGAUCGAGAAUCUGGCUGAGUGGUGCCACAAUGGCAGCAAGAGCAAGGAGGUAAUUGUUGAUCUCAGGAGGAAACCAGAGGUCCAUGAGCCAGUCCUCAUGGGAGGAUCAGACUUCAAGUUCCUUGGUGUUAUCAUUUCAGAGUACCUGUUCUGGGCCCAGCACAGAAGUGUG